Molecule: non-coding RNA, 3584 nt
Organism: Nelumbo nucifera (sacred lotus)
Lineage: Eukaryota; Viridiplantae; Streptophyta; Magnoliopsida; Proteales; Nelumbonaceae
Source: RefSeq, a predicted model, not a curated record
CCAUGUUUGGUUCAUUGCCCAUAGCUUCAUUCUUUUAAUUCUUGCCGAUUCUAGAAAAGAAUGGGCAAGAAUGAAUGAGAUAUAGGUGUUUGGAUAUUCAUUUCUUGCCACAGAAUGCAUUCUUCCCAGAAUGAAAUUUGAGCUUCGGCAAAAAUUUGUAUUUUUCGUGCCCUACCAAUUCUUUUUUUUUUUUUCGUUCGAGCUCGAGUAUCUCGACUUUCACUGAACCCUCUCGCCCUCGCUCUCUGUACAAGGUAAACGCUCGCUCCUCUCUCUUUGUAGAAGGUAAACCCUCGUCCCUCUCUCUCUCUCUGUACGAGGUAAACCCUCGUCCAUCUCUCUCUCUCUGUACGAGGUAAACCCUCAUCCAUCUCUCUCUGUCUGUGUUGAGGUAUUUCUAUCUGUUAAGUUAAACUAAUCGACUCUCUCUCUUUGUACAAGGUAACCAUGAGAUCAAAAUAAGGAAACAUAUGUCAUUUUUUUCCCACGACAAGAGAAAGAAGAAAUAGGAAAAAUGAUCAUUUGACUGUUUAACGAUGAUCAAGCAAAACAUAGAAGAAAGGGAAUCGGGGAACACCUUUUACAUUUGUUUGUCUGUCUAUUUUCCUAGUUCUUAAAUUCUUCUCUAAUUCUUUUCAUGUAGGACAUUGCCCUCGCCGACUUGGCUCCCACUCACCCAAUAAGGCUUGGGCUUGCACUCGACUUCUCGGUGUUCUAUUAUGAAAUCCUGAACUCACCAGAUUGUGCUUGCAGUCUUGCAAAGCAGUUAUACCCUUAUACAGCACGGAGAGCAUUGGUAUCAAAUGCUCUGACUUGGUGGUUAAAGAGGUGAUGUUGAGUCMUUUUCUUUGACACCAUGUGAAUGACUGCUGUAAGUGGACUUGCUGGUUGAUUUAUUGUCCAAGAAAAAUAAGACCUCUGUGGGGAAAUGAUAGAAGAAUUUGGGAUGUGGAUGCUAAUGGCUGUAGUGAAGAUCAAUAAAACAUGUCUGUUUUCAUGAAGUCUUGAUAUUUUCUUUGAGUGGUUGGGAAGUUGAUAUAUUUGAAUUGGGUAUGGUGACUACAUAUCCUAUCCAAGGUCUUAUUCUUUAUGUGAUGAAUGUAGUCAAUAAAAGUCUCACCAUUGAUCAGCUUAUGGAUAGACAUAGUCUCAGAGAGGCAUUCUAUACUUGUGCUUCCAUUCCAAAUAACAGGUCAUGCCUCCCAUCUCAUGAUAAACUAUUAGUGCUUCUUGCAAAUUUGGUGGCAUUUUUUUUAAUCUUUUCAGAAUCCAGUGGAUCAUUCUAAGCAGCUUGGCUUAAUUUCUUAGACUUGUUUGGUUAAAUUCAAUAGGAGAUACCAAUAAAAAAAACUAUAGGAGGGGGAUAAACUUUGUGGAACCUUGCAGCAUUUUCUGUUGGAGUAUUUGGCAACAUUGUAACAGCAUAUUAGCUUAUUCUUUACGGUAUAUUUAGUUAGGUCUUCAAGGUUUUUGAAAAAAUUUAAGGGCUCUUAUCUUUUUGGUCAUCAAUUAUAAGAACGAAGUAUUCUUUUGAUUGCCUAUUUUCUUGGAGUUUUUAUUUUUUCUAAUGAUUGGCGUGGUAUAAUUAUUGAUCCAGUGGUUUCUGAUGUAUAGCAUGUUUAUACUUUUGGAGGGAUUUCUUUUGCAGAGGGCUUUCAUUUGGCCCAUCUUAUACUCAUUAGUAUAAUAUUGUUUUCUUUCUGAUCAUAAAGAAACAAGAAAAUGAAAAGGAUUGAAUGACCUUCCCUUGCCAAGAAGCCCUUAUAGCAAUUAUUAAUGAAAUAAUAAUUGCUAAUGGUUGUACUUUACAGAUGCAGGCUCAUUCUGCCUAGAUCAUUGGAUUGAUCAUAUUAGGUGGCUCCUUGAGUGAUUGUUGUGAACUUAUUCAAAGGUUGUUUAGCAGAUAGUACUGUGAGAGAUAAUCUUAUUGCUGACCACUCUCAGUGUUCCCCAGCUUUCUUUUAGGGUCUAUACAAUUGGAUCUUGAUGGUUUUAUUGGUUUGAAAUGGGGCCAUCUUGUACAUGAGGAAUGUCCACCGGUAGUUCUGAUGUAGAAAGGGUGAUUCAAGCAGAACUCAGCUCUUUGCUCUCCUUCAGAGGUUCAUUCUUUUUCUUUCUCUUGAAGCAAUGAGGUUUGGAACUUUGAAACCACUGAAGGAGAUGAAUUGGGAGUUGAAAGCUUUUGAUUGAGCUCCAUGCAUGAUAUGCUUUUGAGAUCAAUUUAACAAAAAUAUGCCUGGAGGCUCUCCAAUUUUGGGAAUUGAUGUGGUUUUGAUAGUUGUACAACAAAAAGAUGGUCCCAUCCCCCUUAUCAGGGUGUUUCAAUACUUUGAGCCUUGCCCUGCACACCUGUAGAUUCUUUUUUACUUUUUAGCAUUUCCUUCUAGAUUUCUUUUGCUGGAGUAGGGGCAGAGGGUUAGUUUGCUAGCAACCGGCAAGCCUUUCUUUUGGGCUGUAAAUUGGAAAAAUUUUAAAUAACCAACACCACUUUGAGAUAACUUGGAAAAAUACAGUUACUGCUACAAUCAUCCAAGGAGAAAGGAUGAAGACACUUAGGAUCUGAUGCAGAGAACUUACUCUUCCACCAGACCAAACCUAUGUCUCCUGCACUUUAUCCUCGGCCUUACAACUCAUCUGUCUUUGUCCCUACAAAGACUUGAGUGGGGUAAGUGAUGGAUCUUAAUUUCUUUUUUUUCCUGGGUGGAUCAAGAAAGGUUAGCUUCAAUCUCUAAAGCUUUUUCUCUGCAAUAAGGUUUCCACUUUCCAUGUGGUUAUGACUUCUGAAGGAUAAAAUAACAGUGGUGCAUAUUUUGUUAUUCACUUGUAUAGAUAUUUGCUUCUUCUCGUAAAGGCUUCACCUAACUUUUGUAGCCUUCAUUUUAGCGACCUGUACAAAAGCUUGUGGAAACCAAAUUUUGGUGGAACCCCAAAUGACAAAAGGCAAAACAUUCAAGUAACUAACAAGCAGUGCGGUCCAUAUAAUAAAGCAAUAAUUGGAUCAGUUCAUCCCCAUUAGCCAGUUUGUUUGUGGAUCAUAUGCAGUCAGGUUCCUAGAAAUGACCCUUAAGGUUGUUAGUUUGUCGACUGAUAUAGAUGGUGCUUUACAGGCAUUCAUUCAGGUCCAUGUGAAGUUGAGAACUCAGACAACAAUAAUUGAAUGCAUCUUAUUGUAGUUAGAGCUUAGGGGAUGAGAUAUUUUCCAUGUGUGACUGUAAUAUUAUAUGGGUAGAUGUGGGUAGAAUUUUUAUGAGCAACUGUACAGGCAUAAACACACGUGCAACUAAGGGCAAAGAUAUAAAGUAUGGUUAUAUAAUCAAGUAUUUACUUUAUAUAAUGAUAGAAUAGAUAAACAAAUAGAAGAAAUGCAAGCUAGCUUUUAUUUAAUACCCAUAUAGAGAUUCCCUUAUUUGCCUAAUUACGGUAGGCCAUACACCCACUUGAACUUUAAUGCUGGCAUGGUAACAACAUACAUGUAUUUACUAAAACAGGUCCACCAAUUUUCAACAGAAUCUUUCGUUUAGCAGACAAAAUAAGAACUGCUAUGUUAUGUAAAAUUAUCACAGAAAUAAAUGUUUUUUGUGUUA